AAAAUUUGAUAAUGGCAAUGUCAUGUAAUUAAUUACAAAAAUUAAGGUUACAUUUAAAAUGUACUUCCCAAAUAAUAUAGUAGGAUUUCAGUUUUGAGAAGCUGACCUCAUUUUGACAUCUUUUUUUUCUCAAACCU
RNAcentral lists this small RNA (137 nucleotides) under Arabidopsis thaliana (thale cress). RNAcentral's name for it is "ATSL102480". Lineage: Eukaryota; Viridiplantae; Streptophyta; Magnoliopsida; Brassicales; Brassicaceae. The record is from RNAcentral.